This 611-nucleotide ribosomal RNA is filed under the name uncultured beta proteobacterium. RNAcentral's name for it is "bacterial SSU rRNA". It matches the Rfam family "Bacterial small subunit ribosomal RNA", at positions 284 to 915 of the family's 1533-position model. The record is from RNAcentral. Lineage: Bacteria; Pseudomonadati; Pseudomonadota; Betaproteobacteria.
UCCGCCUGGGGAGUACGGUCGCAAGAUUAAAACUCAAAGGAAUUGACGGACUCCUACGGGAGGCAGCAGUGGGGAAUUUUGCGCAAUGGGGGAAACCCUGACGCAGCAACGCCGCGUGGAGGAUGAAGUCCCUUGGGAUGUAAACUCCUUUCGAUCGGGACGAUAAUGACGGUACCGGAAGAAGAAGCACCGGCUAACUCUGUGCCAGCAGCCGCGGUAAUACAGAGGGUGCAAGCGUUAAUCGGAAUUACUGGGCGUAAAGCGUGCGCAGGCGGUUCGUUGUGUCGGCGGUGAAAGCCCCGGGCUCAACCUGGGAAUGGCCGUUGAAACUGGCGAACUGGAGUGUGGCAGAGGGGGGUGGAAUUCCGCGUGUAGCAGUGAAAUGCGUAGAGAUGCGGAGGAACACCGAUGGCGAAGGCAGCCCCCUGGGCUGACACUGACGCUCAGGCACGAAAGCGUGGGGAGCAAACAGGAUUAGAUACCCUGGUAGUCCACGCCCUAAACGAUGUCGACUGGGUGUUGGGGAAGCGAUUUCCCAGUACCGUAGCUAACGCGUGAAGUCGACCGCCUGGGGAGUACGGCCGCAAGGUUAAAACUUAAAGGAAUUGACG